GACGAACGCUGGCGGCGUGCUUAACACAUGCAAGUCGAACGGAAAGGCCCUGCUUGCAUGGUCCUCGAGUGGCGAACGGGCGAGUAACACGGUGGUAAUCUGCCCUCCUCUUCGGGAUAAGCGUGGGAAAGUGGGUCUAAUACCGGAUAGGAGCCAUUUAUAUUGUGUUGGUUGGAUAGUUUUUUCGGUGUGGGAUGAGCUCGCGGCCUAUCAGCUUGUUGGGGUGGUAAUGGCCUACCGAGGCGGCGGGGGGUAGCCGGCCUGUGAGGGUGGACGGCCACACUGGGACUGAGAGAAGGCACCAGUACCGACUGGAGGCCGAUGGGGGGAAGACUGCACAAGGGGCGCCAGGCUGAUGCAGCGACGCCGCGGAGCGGAUGACGGCCUUGGUGUUGAAGACCCCUUUCGCUAGGGACGAUGCUUUUUGUGACGGUACCUAGACAAGAAGCCCCGGCUAACUACGUG
This 465-nucleotide ribosomal RNA is filed under the name uncultured bacterium. RNAcentral's name for it is "partial 16S ribosomal RNA". It matches the Rfam family "Bacterial small subunit ribosomal RNA", at positions 28 to 507 of the family's 1533-position model. The record is from RNAcentral.